CCUACGGGGGGCAGCAGUUGGGAAUAUUGGACAAUGGAGGAAACUCUGAUCCAGUGACGCCGCGUGAAGGAAGAAGGUCUUCGGAUUGUAAACUUAUUUUAUCAGGGAAGAAAAAAAUGACUGUACCUGAAGAAGAAGCACCGGCUAACUACGUGCCAGCAGCCGCGGUAAUACGUAGGGUGCAAGCGUUAUCCGGAUUUACUGGGUGUAAAGGGAGCGUAGGUGGCAGGGCAAGUCAGAUGUGAAAACCCGGGGCUCAACUCCGGGAGUGCAUUUGAAACUGUCCAGCUAGAGUGCAGGAGAGG
Molecule: ribosomal RNA, 305 nt
Filed under: uncultured bacterium
Lineage: Bacteria
Description: bacterial SSU rRNA
Rfam family: Bacterial small subunit ribosomal RNA
Source: RNAcentral